RNAcentral lists this long non-coding RNA (547 nucleotides) under Nicotiana benthamiana. Its description in RNAcentral is "long non-coding RNA (NBEN_LNC002535)". The record is from RNAcentral. Lineage: Eukaryota; Viridiplantae; Streptophyta; Magnoliopsida; Solanales; Solanaceae.
UUCUCUAAAGAUAUCUUAUGAACAACAGAAAUUUUCCAUAAAGCAAAAAAAAGUUCGGCAAAUCUGUAAAAUUUAAACUAAUUCAAACAUGCUUAGAUUAACCAACACAAGCACUCAUAGCUGAAAACCGGGAUUAAACUAAUUUCAAUAGAUAUCGUACUCUAGUAUUUUCAAACAAUUUCAACCAAUUUGAGAAGAAAUACACAUCUCUUACACACUAGAAUAACAGAGAUCAGAACUGGAACCAAUCUACGAGAAGCUAAAGAGGAAACAACAAUUUUUUAUCAUUUCAAUAAAGCAUAAGCGAGAACGUUUCCACAACUUUCCUGAUCGCCCAAAGAAAAGCUCAAACAAGCUAAAUGAAGGCAGAAACAAACUCGACAGAACUCGAACAGCGUAUCAACGAAAAACUCAACGGACCGGAAACGGCGACCUGAAUAGAUCCACUCGACUAGAUUUGGGUAGCGAAUUUUAGCUGACUUUCGCACUGAUGUGGUGUAGUUUCAGGGAGUUUUGAAGAUAGGUUCACCGCUGGGUUCGAACUCUA